UGGAGAUUCAUCUCCUCAGAGUGCUAAAGACUGACUGUUGGGAGCAUCCCAACAAUAAAGGGGAAGCAGGCAGUGUGUUUGUAGCCAUAAUGAGAUUGAAACUUCCUUCCCAUACCAUCUGGAAAACUUGGAGACAGAACACAUCUUCAUAAGCUUUGCAAAAAAGGCUUGAUUCCAGCUUUGGCCGGGGAUGUCAGAGGACUGAAGUCAAUGGAACAUGGACAGGAGAAAAAUCCUGCUUGCACUAGUGGCUCUUAGAAUCAGCAAAGAAAUACGCCAGAUGAAACAUACAUCUCCUCACUCUAUUUUAAUUUUGUUCUCAUUGCUAUGUUAGUUUAGUGGUUUAUACUAAAAAAACAUGUCAGGUGAAACUCAUCCAGCAAUCUCCUCAACAGUGACCUUCUAGAGCCACAGAAAAGCACCACAGCUCACAGACUUGCACUGAGCAGGAGCUUCUUCUGUGCCUUGGAUGUGUGAAGAUAACUCAUAAAAAGUGGCCAACAGACAGGUUCUGUUACUCAGCCAUUUUGGUAAUGGAAGACUGAUCUGAUUUCUGGGAAACAGACUGUGAACCUUGGUUCCUAAAUUUCUGCUAAUGUUGUAACUACCUGCCUGUUCUGCAAAGAGUGAUACCUCGAGCCAAUCUCUGGAAAUUGUUCUGAAACUUCUGAUAUCAGAGUGUACUUAAGUUAGUUUUUGUGCAGCAGUUUUAAAGACUGUCUUAUAUAAAUAAUCUCCAUUGAAAACAAGAGAAAAGAUAGCUCAUAUAGUUCAAGCAUCAUAUAGUUCAAAGCAUCAUAUAGUUCAAGUCUUUAAUGAUUAUUAAAGAUUUAAAGGAAAAAAAUCUGUACAAAAAAAUCAGAGUGCACAAUGAUACAUUUAUUCUUAGUGGUUGGAAUCCCUCAGCUUUUUUCCUAACAGUAGAUUAUUCUACUAUGAUUUAUAUUUUCAAUUUAUCUGCGCUUUUAAUUCUUGUAAGGGACACAACAUAGAUGAUACAUCUAUAUGCUAUAUCUGGCUAGGUGUUAC
Passer montanus (Eurasian tree sparrow) is the source of this 1029-nucleotide long non-coding RNA. RefSeq lists it as uncharacterized. NCBI's taxonomy places the organism in Eukaryota, Metazoa, Chordata, Aves, Passeriformes, Passeridae. The transcript is spliced from 3 exons. The record is from RefSeq and is a predicted model, not a curated record.